Molecule: small nuclear RNA, 22 nt
Filed under: Arabidopsis thaliana (thale cress)
Lineage: Eukaryota; Viridiplantae; Streptophyta; Magnoliopsida; Brassicales; Brassicaceae
Description: snRNA_09574
Source: RNAcentral
UAGACUGCACCCAAAACCGCAG